This is an RNA transcript of Neofelis nebulosa (Clouded leopard), 1254 nucleotides long. It is a transcript of the gene named large ribosomal subunit protein uL15-like, with no coding region annotated. The transcript is spliced from 4 exons. NCBI's taxonomy places the organism in Eukaryota, Metazoa, Chordata, Mammalia, Carnivora, Felidae. The record is from RefSeq and is a predicted model, not a curated record.
CCGAAGGCCUUGACACUCGGGCCAAUGAGGGGGCGCCUGGGCGUUGGGUGGGAUCCGGAGAUGGGUAAGUCCGCCAGCUGGUCGAGGAGGGGUGCGUGUCUCUUGUGGCAAGGCAGCUGUAGUUGUGACAACUGGAAACCGAGAACGAAUGCCAACAGUUUGUCUGGGCAAGGAGGCUUGAAAGGCAUCUGGUUAUACUGCUAUUCUUUGGAAAACUCACAGAGCAAUGUUCUUCAUGACUGAACAGGCGUCUUGUGAUCCCUUGGGAAUGUCGAUUCAUUCAUUUGACAAGUAUUUCCAUGUUUAUGGAGGACCUUUUGUUUGCCAAGCACUGUGCUAGGCAUUGGCGCUACAAUCCUGACACAAGUAGACAUGAUUUCUGCCUUCACAGAAUUUACAGUCUAAUGAGGAAAAGGAAAAACAACAACAACAACAGUUUAAUUUUUAGGUUCCCCAGCCAGAGAACCUAGGACAGUAAAGGGAAAACACUAUUCUUCUCCUACUUCAGAAUCAGCAAUUUUUCAGGGAGCUGUCGAGUUGAGAGACACAAAUUUUGGAGUCAUCGGUCUGUGCAUGGAACUGAAAGCCAUCAGGAUGAGAUCACCUAAGGAGGUCUUCCGCCUGGGCCAAGAGACAAGCUGGAAAGAAGAACCCAACUAGCAAGUCUGAGUUCAAAUGGAGCAGCUGAAGUCUUCUUUCAAGUGCCCCUAACCCCUGCAUUGUUCAAGGGUCACCCAUAUAUUUUAUUUCACUAAUUCUUAAUUAGAGGGAAAAAAAUCCUCUCAGGUAAAUGCUAUUAUCUUCAUUUUACAGUUGAGAACAUGGAGGUUCAGACAGAUGAAGAAACUUACCUAGUAUUAUAGGGCCAGUGGAACCAGAAUUUGAAUCCUGGUAGACUGAUGCCACAGCCCUUUAUGUGUUGAACCACAUUGCCUUAGGCACAGCUAGUAAUCCUAACUCAUUAGUUCCUUAUCCAGUUGGGUAAGCUACAAAGACUACUCACAUUGUCCCAUUGUCCUCAUAAACCUCCAAACAUGUUGUGAACAUGGACAUCAUUCAUCUUGGGAUCAGACAGCAAAGUUACUCAGAUUCAAAACAAAGCACAUCUUGAUCUGUGAUUGGUAUAUCAUGAGUGCUCACACAAUGUAGGUGCUCAAUAAAUAUUUAUUGAGUGACUAAAUGGAUUACAGCAGUUACACCUUCAUAUACCCUUUAAUUGGGUUAUGAAUAUUUUCCCAUACAAUUUCUCCAUAA